GUAAAUAUAGUUUAAACAAAACCUUAGAUUGUGAAUCUAAUAACAAAGGCUUAAACCCUUUUAUUUACC
This 69-nucleotide transfer RNA is filed under the name Microcebus griseorufus. Its description in RNAcentral is "tRNA-His". It matches the Rfam family "tRNA". Rfam says of the family: Transfer RNA (tRNA) molecules are approximately 80 nucleotides in length. The record is from RNAcentral. Lineage: Eukaryota; Metazoa; Chordata; Mammalia; Primates; Cheirogaleidae.